GUCUGGCCAGCUGUGCCGAAGGAGGCUGAGCUCCUUGGAGAAGCACCACACCGCGUGCUCUUACUGUACGACGGAGGCAGAGCCGCGCGACGAUGGCGAGAUACAUCCGAACGCCGGCGUGAAGAGUGAAACCGCGGUUAACAGGGAGGCAGGAGAACGCCCUCCCUCAACCCACCCCACCCCACCCCACCCCACCUCG
RNAcentral lists this long non-coding RNA (199 nucleotides) under Scleropages formosus (Asian bonytongue). RNAcentral's name for it is "lncRNA (ENSSFOG00015026326.1)". Lineage: Eukaryota; Metazoa; Chordata; Actinopteri; Osteoglossiformes; Osteoglossidae. The record is from RNAcentral.